RNAcentral lists this long non-coding RNA (225 nucleotides) under Helianthus annuus (common sunflower). RNAcentral describes it as "hypothetical non coding rna". Lineage: Eukaryota; Viridiplantae; Streptophyta; Magnoliopsida; Asterales; Asteraceae. The record is from RNAcentral.
UCUCUAAUCUCUACAAAAUCACUCUCAAAGCUCUUGCAAAUCAGAAAUUCGGACAGAUUCAUACCUCCUUACAAAACUCACAAGUGGUGUCAAGUCUUGAACUUGAAGAUGGAUAACUUGGUGUUCCCUCCAUCAAAUCAACUCUUCACGGAUUCAAGUGGGAAAGCUUGCAAAACCGUGAGUACACUCGACCCAUUUACAUUUUAUACCACUUUUGGGUUGUAA